RNAcentral lists this ribosomal RNA (216 nucleotides) under Glomeromycotina sp. RNAcentral describes it as "partial small subunit ribosomal RNA". The stretch from base 40 to 216 matches the Rfam family "Eukaryotic small subunit ribosomal RNA", at positions 686 to 864 of the family's 1831-position model. The record is from RNAcentral. Lineage: Eukaryota; Fungi; Glomeromycota.
GGGUCAGUAGGUUGGUCGUGCCACCGGUACGUACUGGUCUCACUGAUUCCUCCUUCCUGAAGAACCGUAAUGCCAUUAAUUUGGUGUUGCGGGGAAACAGGACUGCUACUUUGAAAAAAUUAGGGUGUUUGAAGCAAGCUAACGCUUGAAUACAUUAGCAUGGAAUAAUGAAAUAGGACGAUCGAUCCUAUUUUGUUGGUUUCUAGGAUUGACGUA